Molecule: RNA transcript, 2592 nt
Organism: Panicum virgatum (switchgrass)
Lineage: Eukaryota; Viridiplantae; Streptophyta; Magnoliopsida; Poales; Poaceae
Exons: 10
Source: RefSeq, a predicted model, not a curated record
UUUUUUUUGUGCUCACUUACAGGGAAAUACCAUGUACGCUGAGAUACCUGCAAAAGAAGCAGACAAGCUAGGACCUAUGAUACAAGUGGACAGAACCUAUGUUAUAGCUCGCUUCAAAGUUUGCAAUGCAAAAAAAAAUUUCAAAUCUAUCCCAGGUCCCUAUAUGCUAGAAUUCACCUGCCAUACCAAAAUUAGUGCAGCAACCGAGCAAAUAACUGGGCCUAAGUAUAUCUACAACCUGACUCUUUUGAAAAACUCCCAGAAUUCAUCAAUGACACCAAAAAAUUCCAUGAUAUCCUUGGCAUUAUAACAGAAAUCAAUGAACCAGAGUGGAUUCCCUUCUCCAAUCAGCCUAAUCCUUCCCUACGAUGUGACAUCAGGUUGACAGAUGGAUGGGGCCAAGAGAUAAAAAUGGCAAUUUGGGGUUCAAAAGCAACACAAUUUAAUCUCCCUGAAGAUCCAAAUAUGGAAGACAGACCAGCUAUAGUGCUAUUCACAGGAUGUCUAGUGAAAUACUAUCAAGAAAAUUUUUAUGUUAGUGGGUACUCUGCAUGCCAUUUGUAUAUCAAUCCUGACAUACCAGAAGCAGCAAGCCUACUAAACAGAACACAUGGACAAUCUUACAAGAUUAAAAGAUCCGGCAUUCCAAUUGCUGAACAAAGCCUACCAGAACCUCCACCUGUACCUGAUUUUCUCACGCUACAGGAAAUGGAAGCUAUAGACCCAUACGUGUUUCCGGCAACUGGAUGCCGAUGCACUGUUACAAUUGUCCGUUUAGUUGAAACACAAAAUUGGUGGUACCCAGCUUGCAACUUAUGCAAAAAGUCAUGCUUACCAGAAGGUUCAUCUUAUAGGUGUCCAAAAUGUAACAUAUUGGACAUGUACACAUACAAAUACAAGCUGCCAUUUUUUGCUUCCGAUGGAACUGAAGAAUCAGAGAUGAUUGCCUUCGCUGCUGUUGCUCAAUCCAUAGUUGGCAAACUAGUUGAAACUUUGAUGAGAUCAAUAAGAAAUAGAGACAACAUUCCUCCUGAUAUUGCUGCCAUUGUAUCCUCAAAAUUCACCUUCUCUGUCGCAAUGGCAGAAUCUAGCUUCAGUAAACCAAAGAAAUCCUACCAAAUCAACAGCAUAUUGCACAAUUAUGGGAAACAACGUGCUCUACCAUUCCACGGUCCAAAUCAAGCUCAACUGUCAAAUGAACAUAACCAGUUAUCUGCCCAGCCUAGUGCAAGUACUUCUCCAUCAUACAUUCCUCCUGGUAGUUCACAAAAUCCUCUCCAUGAAACUCCAACCAAAAUACUACCACUAGACCAGAUCCUCCUGCAAACUCCACCAAAAAACAUAGAGAUUCCUAAAAACAGCAAAGGAGAUGACAGUAUCAUUGAUCCUACACCAUCAAUCGAAGCAAAGUCAGCAAAGAAAAGACUGCACAUUUCAGAAAGAGAUGAAGAAAAGAAUGGAGAAGAACCAUAUUCUGAAACAACUCUUGACCAAGAGAUAGCUCAACAAACAAAUCUUAACAGGCAAAGGUACUAUAUAAUUUACAACUAUAUUAGUUCUUGCUUAUAUAUUUUACAAUUACUUCUAUUCUUAGGAUUAAAUUUAAUGUAUGCAUUUGACAUACAAGGAUAGCCACUAACAAUUGUUAGUAUCAAACUAGAGUGUCUAUAUACUUAACAAAUGCACAUACACAACCAGCCCUUAUAAAUAUUAGAAAAAAAAGUAAUGCCUCCUACUGACUAUGCAAAAACAAACUCAUAUUGGUCUCAACCAUACUAACUGGAUCAUAUCUGCAAAAUCUUUGACUUGCUAGAUUCUACUUAAUGCAUGAUCUAUAUUAGCACCAUUAACAUAGCUUAUGAUAUGAAAAUAAUAUGAUUCAGACUUGGUUUUUUUUAGAUCUAUGACAUAUUAAUAUUGAGAGCUUGUAAAUGACUUUAUGUUUGCAUACUAUUGAGAGAUCCUAUGGUUUUAAGUUAUUAAGAGCUCCUAUAUCAUUGUUCUCAAAGAAGCUAACUGCAUCUACAGAUAAUAAGAUUCAAGGAUCCAUUCAUGGUGACCACAGCUUUGGUUGCCCUGAUUUCCAUAGCUUAUGUUUUAUUAUGUUACAUAGUUGGUCCAUUCGAUAUAUAGAUUGGUCAUGCUAUUACAUCCUGAAAAUUCCGACAUUAUUUAGAACAUUCUAAAUUUAAAACUCUGAAAAAAAAGGUUUUAUGCAGUCAGUUUAUUUUAUGUGUUUAAUUGAUACGUCACCAACAUAUACAUGAUAAAUUAUAUUAACCCUUUAUCAAUUAAUAGUACGCAAACAAAUCACCGAUCAGCACUAAGAAGUAAAACUAUAGUUAUCAACAUUCAGAAUUUUGAAUUUUAUACUACUGACACAUUCUACUCCAUAAAUCACCAGCAACGUGCAGCGAACAGCGGCAUCACCUGCAGAAAAGAUCAGUUCCUCUAGAAGCUCAAAGAGCCCUAAGAAAUGACAAGAUCAGCAUUUAGUCAGCUUUCCCGGCCUUACCACCGGACACUACCUAGCAACCAAAACUCGACGAAGCAGUGGCAGCGCCAGAACUUUGAUCUUGCCAAUCAAAAUUA